Molecule: ribosomal RNA, 1082 nt
Filed under: uncultured bacterium
Lineage: Bacteria
Description: bacterial SSU rRNA
Rfam family: Bacterial small subunit ribosomal RNA
Source: RNAcentral
CGAGGGGCAGCAUGAAGUUUGCUUGCAAACUUUGAUGGCGACCGGCGCACGGGUGAGUAACGUGUAUCCAACCUUCCCUAUAGUAGAGAAUAGCCCGGCGAAAGUCGGAUUAAUGCUCUAUGUUAUUCAAAGCGGACAUCUAAUUUGAAUCAAAGGUUCACCGCUAUAGGAUGGGGAUGCGUCUGAUUAGCUUGAUGGCGGGGUAACGGCCCACCAUGGCGACGAUCAGUAGGGGUUCUGAGAGGAAGGUCCCCCACAUUGGAACUGAGACACGGUCCAAACUCCUACGGGAGGCAGCAGUGAGGAAUAUUGGUCAAUGGGCGAGAGCCUGAACCAGCCAAGUAGCGUGCAGGAUGACGGCCCUAUGGGUUGUAAACUGCUUUUAUGCGGAAAUAAAGUCGGCUACGCGUAGCCGUUAAAAAAACCGCAUGAUUAAGGACCGGCUAAGUCCGUACCAGCAGCCGCGGUAAUACGGAAGGUCCGGGCGUUAUCCGGAUUUAUUGGGUUUAAAGGGAGCGCAGGCCGGAGGUCAAGCGUGACGUGAAAUGUAGGGGCUCAACCUUUGAAUUGCGUCGCGAACUGGUUUCCUUGAAUGAGUAUGACGUCAGCGGAAUUCGUGGUGUAGCGGUGAAAUGUUUAGAUAUCACGAAGAACCCCGAUUGCGAAGGCAGCUGACGAGUCCUUUACUGACGCUAAGGCUCGAAGGUGCGGGUAUCGAACAGGAUUAGAUACCCUGGUAGUCCGCACGGUAAACGAUGGAUGCCCGCUGUUUGCGAUAUAUUGUGAGCGGCCAAGCGAAAGCGUUAAGCAUCCCACCUGGGGAGUACGCCGGCAACGGUGAAACUCAAAGGAAUUGACGGGGGCCCGCACAAGCGGAGGAACAUGUGGUUUAAUUCGAUGAUACGCGAGGAACCUUACCCGGGCUUGAACUGCAGGAGAACGAUCCAGAGAUGGUGAGGCCCUUCGGGGCUCCUGUGGAGGUGCUGCAUGGUUGUCGUCAGCUCGUGCCGUGAGGUGUCGGCUUAAGUGCCAUAACGAGCGCAACCCCUUUCGCCAGUUGCCAUCAGGUGAUGCUGGGCACU